Molecule: non-coding RNA, 24 nt
Filed under: Gallus gallus (chicken)
Lineage: Eukaryota; Metazoa; Chordata; Aves; Galliformes; Phasianidae
Source: miRBase by way of RNAcentral
GGUUGGUGUGGGAAGUGAGGAUGG